This 253-nucleotide ribosomal RNA is filed under the name uncultured bacterium. RNAcentral describes it as "partial 16S ribosomal RNA". It matches the Rfam family "Bacterial small subunit ribosomal RNA", at positions 524 to 776 of the family's 1533-position model. The record is from RNAcentral.
UACGGAGGGUGCAAGCGUUGCUCGGAAUUAUUGGGCGUAAAGGGUAGGUAGGUGGUCUCGUUUGUCUGAGGUGAAAGCCCUGAGCUUAACUCAGGAAGUGCCUCAGAAACGGCGAGACUGGAGUCCUAGAGAGGGUCGUGGAAUUCCCGGUGUAGCGGUGAAAUGCGUAGAGAUCGGGAGGAACACCAGAGGCGAAGGCGGCUCUCUGGGACGGUACUGACGCUGAGACGCGAAAGCGUGGGGAGCGAACAGG